RNAcentral lists this ribosomal RNA (480 nucleotides) under uncultured bacterium. Its description in RNAcentral is "bacterial SSU rRNA". It matches the Rfam family "Bacterial small subunit ribosomal RNA", at positions 30 to 507 of the family's 1533-position model. The record is from RNAcentral.
AUUGAACGCUGGCGGCAGGCCUAACACAUGCAAGUCGAGCGGAUGAGUGGAGCUUGCUCCAUGAUUCAGCGGCGGACGGGUGAGUAAUGCCUAGGAAUCUGCCUGGUAGUGGGGGACAACGUUUCGAAAGGAACGCUAAUACCGCAUACGUCCUACGGGAGAAAGCAGGGGGACCUUCGGGCCUUGCGCUAUCAGAUGAGCCUAGGUCGGAUUAGCUAGUUGGUAAGGUAACGGCUUACCAAGGCUACGAUGGGUAGGGGUCCUGAGAGGGAGAUCCCCCCACACUGGUACUGAGACACGGACCAGACUCCUACGGGAGGCAGCAGUGAGGAAUAUUGGACAAUGGGCGCAAGCCUGAUCCAGCCAUGCCGCGUGCAGGAUGACGGUCCUAUGGAUUGUAAACUGCUUUGUACGAGAAGAAACAACAUUACGUGUAAUGUCUUGACGGUAUCGUAAGAAUAAGGAUCGGCUAACUCCGUG